Molecule: non-coding RNA, 259 nt
Organism: Pelobates cultripes (western spadefoot toad)
Lineage: Eukaryota; Metazoa; Chordata; Amphibia; Anura; Pelobatidae
Source: the annotation of a GenBank genome assembly
GUAUAUUUACAGGGAAUGGGGACUGCCUCCUCGUGUGUUCACCCCCCAUGUGCCCCUCUCUCUACCAGACACCUCAGACUGCUUGUGUUCUCCUCCCCCCAUGUACCCCAUCCUGCACUUAUUCCCCCUUCCUAGGGGGUCUCUAUUAUUGGUUUUCUGAAGCCUCACAGGCCUCCCCACCUAGCUUUUUAUUCAAGCCAUGCACAUGUGAAUGCAUGUAUUGCCUCCUGUUCUUAUCUUCCAUCAGGGUUAACCUUUU